Molecule: ribosomal RNA, 772 nt
Filed under: Neonectria sp.
Lineage: Eukaryota; Fungi; Ascomycota; Sordariomycetes; Hypocreales; Nectriaceae
Description: LSU rRNA
Rfam family: Eukaryotic large subunit ribosomal RNA
Source: RNAcentral
GGCAACAGCUCAAAUUUGAAAUCUGGCCCCCGGGUCCGAGUUGUAAUUUGUAGAGGAUGCUUUUGGUGCGGUACCUUCCGAGUUCCCUGGAACGGGACGCCAUAGAGGGUGAGAGCCCCGUCUGGUUGGACGCCAAUCCUUUGUAAAGCUCCUUCAACGAGUCGAGUAGUUUGGGAAUGCUGCUCUAAAUGGGAGGUAUAUGUCUUCUAAAGCUAAAUAUUGGCCAGAGACCGAUAGCGCACAAGUAGAGUGAUCGAAAGAUGAAAAGCACUUUGAAAAGAGAGUUAAAAAGUACGUGAAAUUGUUGAAAGGGAAGCGCUCAUGACCAGACUUGGGCUUGGUUGAUCAUCCAGGGUUCUCCCUGGUGCACUCUUCCGGCCCAGGCCAGCAUCAGUUCGCUGUGGGGGAUAAAGGCUUCGGGAAUGUGGCUCCCUCGGGAGUGUUAUAGCCCGUUGUGUAAUACCCUGUGGUGGACUGAGGUUCGCGCAUUCGCAAGGAUGCUGGCGUAAUGGUCAUCAGCGACCCGUCUUGAAACACGGACCAAGGAGUCGUCUUCGUAUGCGAGUGUUCGGGUGUCAAACCCCUACGCGUAAUGAAAGUGAACGCAGGUGAGAGCUUCGGCGCAUCAUCGACCGAUCCUGAUGUUCUCGGAUGGAUUUGAGUAAGAGCAUACGGGGCCGGACCCGAAAGAAGGUGAACUAUGCCUGUAUAGGGUGAAGCCAGAGGAAACUCUGGUGGAGGCUCGCAGCGGUUCUGACGUGCAAAUCGAUCG